GUUAGUUCGAAAGGGCGAUUCGCGGUAAAAUGGCGCGCACAUCAGAUUACACUAGAUACCGAAGAGUUUUCCAUGAAUGCGUCGAUAAGCAUUCUAUAUCCUAAAACUUGGCGAGGUAUUUGUUCAAGAAACGGCAGUAAGAAUAAGAUGCAAAGGAAGUUUAGCACCACUCGAAAUAUUAUUAUUAUUUCUUCCUUCAUACAGGGAGUUCAAGAGUGAAAAAUAUUUUAAAGAAGUAUUUUAAAGAUCUAGAACUCUGUAUGACAGAAACAAUAUCAGCAUCAGUCGUAUACCUAUAUAUCGUAGAUAUUGUCACCACGCGAAAUGUAUUUCGCAUAUCACAGUGACGCAACAUCUGUAAAUGACGCACAUGUUCGUCUUUCGCGGUUUGCGGCGUUGGCUAGGAAUUGUCAGAAUUGUGCAAAUAUUUUG
This is a long non-coding RNA of Camponotus floridanus (Florida carpenter ant), 432 nucleotides long. RefSeq lists it as uncharacterized. The record is from RefSeq and is a predicted model, not a curated record. NCBI's taxonomy places the organism in Eukaryota, Metazoa, Arthropoda, Insecta, Hymenoptera, Formicidae. The transcript is spliced from 3 exons.